This 3924-nucleotide long non-coding RNA is filed under the name Homo sapiens (human). RNAcentral's name for it is "HSALNT0370200". Lineage: Eukaryota; Metazoa; Chordata; Mammalia; Primates; Hominidae. The record is from RNAcentral.
CAAAACAAAUAAAAAAAAAAAGAAAAAAGAACUCCUUUUUAUCUAUAUGUGUGUGGGGUGUGGGGAAGAGGAUGUGACGCUUUGAAAGAGGCCAAGGAACUCCAUUUUCAACUACUUCCUGGUUGGAGAGUUUAGCCUGGAAAUUUCUCACCUUUCAUGAAGAUAUUCUGGAAUAAAUAGAAGUGAUCUCCCAUGCUGGCAGGACUCCUGAUAAGUAGCUAAUAUGUUUGUUUUUCACUCUAUCACAUCAAACCAAUGAUAACCAAUAGGCGAUAUUUGGGCACUGACUUCAUUCAAGGCACUAGGUCAGCCUUCCACAUGCACCAUCUCAUUAAUAGUCACCAGGCCCAGAAGGUAGGUACUUUUAUAUCCCCCAUUUUUCAGAUGAGGAAGCUGAGGCCCAGAGAGAGGAAGCAAGUUGCCCAACUUGCUGCUAAAUUCCCAGGCAGAAACUUAAACCAGGAUUCAAAGUCCAUUUCCGUUCGUGACUGUGUAAACACCGUAGAUCAUUAUAUGAACUGGCAUUUCCAUAUCACCGUUAUCAUUUUAAACCUUAGCUGCUGAAUUUGCUUUCAAUUGUAGGUAUUUAAAAAUUGUAACACGGGCCACCUCAUCAGACUCAGGUUCCUAUGCAUGUGAAAGUGGAAAGAAGGACAUGGAGAUUUUCAAAGGCACCUGGCAAGGACUGGGGGGGCUUGGAAAAUGAUCAGAAAUAAAGGAAUCUGGAGUUUCACCCCAGAAGGGACUCAUGGGAGAGGAAUUCGUGUGGGUGCUUGGAGCCAUCAUCCAGGAAAGAGAACAACACAAGUGAGCGGGCCUGGAAAAUCACAGCCAGACUUAAAGCAAAAAAGAAUUGUUAUACAAUUUUAGGGAAGUCAGCAUUUAAUUUGCAAGGUACGAGACCCCUGUAUGAGACUGUGCACAGCCGUAGCCCUGGAUUGAGAGGUGUGACAGCUGGAAGGCCACCGCCCCAUCCCAGCCUUGGUGUCCUGCCCGGCUGGCCUCAGACAAAUGCCAACAUUGUCAGGCCUUGGGAUAAACCCUGAUUUUUUUCUUCCUCUAAUAUGAAAAUCUAAUUUGGCAAAAAGAACAUUGGAAAGGGUUCAGUAGCCUCGACCCUGAUGUGCUCUGCUUUCCCAUCCAUCCUGAGAGUUAUUUGUGAAGAUCAAAUAAGGUAGGAGAGCGGAAGGGUUGUGUGUUUCAUAGGAAAUGUGUGGAGUUAGUAGCGACAGUAAGAGGAGCGGCUUUGCUUAUUGAUGACUUGCUCAGUGCAAGCUCUGUGCCAAAAGCCCGAAAUUAUGGUCUAAUUUAAUCCUGUCAGCAAACUAUAAUGUAGGUACCACUAUUAUCUUCAUUUUAUAGGUGAAGAAAUAGCCGUUUUCUGAGAUCAGACGGUUGGUAGGCUGGAGUGUGGGGACUUCAGGAUGGUCUGACUCCACAACGAGCUGUUAGCUUAGAAAUAUAUGUCAAAAAUAUACAUAUGCUUAUUUAAAUAUAUACAGGAUGUCAUUUUAAAGAACAGAAUGAGGGAAUGCAUUUUCUGAGGUUGCAUAACUUUAUUUUUUUCAAUGCCUAUUGUGGUGGAACUUUCUACAUGUUCUACAAGCUUCUUGAUAUUUAUGUCACUGUACUUAGACUAACAGCAACAACAAUAGAUAAAAAUAGUGAGAUAAUAAUAUUUGUGGCACAUGUUUUGUACUAGGCAUGGUUCUAAGGCAAGCGGUUUCCAUUUAUAAGUUGUACUAACUUUAAAAGACACUUGCUAUUUUCAUCAUCCCCAUUUUACAGAUGAAGAAACUGAGGCCUAGAGAAGUAGAGUAACUUGCCCAAGGCCACAGGCCUUGCAAAUAAAGGAGCUGAUGGAAGAGGUCUGCCUGAAAGUUCUGGAAGGAGUCUUGAAGAUCAAUGCAGGUCAACCCUGAUAUCUCCCACAGGAGGAACGUGAGGCCCAGAGAUCCUUCUUGAGUUACCCAACGUCCUGCAGCCCGCAAUAGAGAAGCAGACUAGAGGCAACAUUACCGGAAUCUCUCUCUCCCAUCCCCCAUCCCAGACCCAGAUCCUUCUACUGCAGACACCUGCUGUUCUUUUAUUGAUGGCAUGGCUAGUGCUCAGUCAUCUGGUCACCACAACUCUACUGAGCCCCUCCCCUGGGUGCUGGACUGGCUCUAACACUGUGCGAACAGACAGAGGAAGGCUCAUGCUUGUGGAGCCAACGUUCUAAGUUGGGGAAGAGUCAAUGUAUGAAUUUUAAAAACAGUAAAACAAGAUCAUUUCAGAGAACGGAAGACAACAGCAAGCACGGGCCACCUGUGACCACGUGGACCCUAGGACCCAAGAGCAUGGCCCUGGAGCUGCCUGGCCCUACUGGCCUAGACUGGGCCUCGGCCACGCGCUCCUCACCUUCACAGUGGCAUUGCAGUACCGGGCACAGCCGCUCUUCAGGCUCCCAAACCUGCCACUGUAGACACAUCUGUGUGUGAAGAGUGCCUGGAGAAAGCCAAGGAGGGAAAGCAUGGCAGUCAGCAUGUUUAGGUCCUCCAGGCACUGCACACCCUCUGCAGACACUUGCCAUUGUACUUCCAUUUCACCACUGACGUCAGGAGAGAGUGCUGGACCACACUAGCAGACCUGGGUCUACAUCAGAGCUUGGACACCCUUUUUUAGGCCUGUUCCCUUGUUGGUGGAAUACAGGCCAGAGUUUGCAUCAUCCAUGGCCCACAGAUCUUUAUUCCCUCUUCCAUGCCACAGCAGAUGUCUCUAAGCAGAAAAUAUUUUCUGUUCAUUCUGGAUACGGUCUAGUCUCCCCUUCCGAUCUAUAGCCAUCCCUAAGAUCUCCUACAGAGACAUUUUGGAGCCCCCAAAGGGUCUAUCUACACUUCAUUGAAAGGUUUGCCAAACAAAAUUGUGAUAGUCUGAGUUUUUCUCUUAGGAGUGGGGCAGAUUUAUAUGCAUCCUUCCAUUCUAACCAACAAUGCCCACUCAUAAUUAUCUAGAACUCAUGUUUACUGAGAACAUUUUAUGGGCCAGACACAUUGCACAGAUGAGUUCAUCAAUCUUCAAUUCUAUGUGGAUGUUUCUCAUGCCAUUUUUUAUAGAUAAGGAAACAGGCCCAGACAGGUUAAAUCAUUUUUUCCAAGAAACACUGAUAGUAAGUAUAAGGUCUAGAGAAUGGGUCUUAUCACGUACAGACUUUAGGAUCACAGUCAUGUAGCCUCUGUGGGCCUCAGCUGCCUAAUUUAUAAAAUAUCAAGAAAAUAUUGAUGAGACAAUAAUGCUGAUUUCAAGUUUUGUCACGAGAAUUUAGUCUCUGGUUCAAAUUUUGUUUUAGAUAAUUGUUGAUGUCAAGCUUAUCCCUUCAUCUUAGGCUGUUGCUCAAGAAGAGGGCAAUGAGACUUUCCUAGGCUAUAAAAUCCUAAAAUAUUAGCUAUAUGAAGGAAUUCUGAGGUCACUGAGGAAGGAGCACUACAGUCCUUUUGGGAAUCUCAGGAUAAUUAACCAGGUGUGGGUCACAGGAUUCCCGGGAUGGGUGAUUUGAGGGCUUCUUUUGGCUCCUACCCAUGUGUCUAAUUUCCCUUUCUUUUCCCUCUUCCUUCUCUUUCCCUGGGCUGAGACAAUCAUAGAAUGGUGAUUAAACAUGUAGAACAAAUCAUGGUUCUGCCACAUCAGCUGUGUGACCUUGUACAAGGUGGUUUACGUUUCCUUGCCUUAGUGCCCUAAUCAUACAUUGGUUAUGGUGAUAAUAUACCCACCUCGUGGGGCUGCUGCAUAAAGCAUUUAGAACAAUGUCUGGCACACAGCAAUCACUGUGACACCAGCCAACACAAUUUCCUCUUCUCCUCCCUCUCACAUUCCCUGCUUGACAGCAUCCUGAAGGACUCAGGGGUAAUGCCUUUGUUAAGCAAAAUAAAUAUCUGAACACCUGCA